GAUGAACGCUGGCGGCGUGCUUAACACAUGCAAGUCGAACGAUGAAGCCAGCUUGCUGGUGGAUUAGUGGCGAACGGGUGAGUAACACGUGAGUAACCUGCCCUUAACUCUGGGAUAAGCCUGGGAAACUGGGUCUAAUACCGGAUAUGACUUCCCAUCGCAUGGUGGGGGGUGGAAAGCUUUUGUGGUUUUGGAUGGACUCGCGGCCUAUCAGCUUGUUGGUGAGGUAAUGGCUCACCAGGGCGACGACGGGUAGCCGGCCUGAGAGGGUGACCGGCCACACGGGGACUGAGACACGGCCCAGACUCCUACGGGAGGCAGCAGUGGGGAAUAUUGCACAAUGGGCGGAAGCCUGAUGCAGCGACGCCGCGUGAGGGAUGACGGCCUUCGGGUUGUAAACCUCUUUCAGUAGGGAAGAAGCGUAAGUGACGGUAUCUGCAGAAGAAGCGCCGGCUAACUACGUGCCAGCAGCCGCGGUAA
Molecule: ribosomal RNA, 480 nt
Filed under: uncultured bacterium
Lineage: Bacteria
Description: partial 16S ribosomal RNA
Rfam family: Bacterial small subunit ribosomal RNA
Source: RNAcentral